RNAcentral lists this long non-coding RNA (412 nucleotides) under Physcomitrium patens. RNAcentral's name for it is "long non-coding RNA (PPAT_LNC013646)". Lineage: Eukaryota; Viridiplantae; Streptophyta; Bryopsida; Funariales; Funariaceae. The record is from RNAcentral.
UAUCUGAACACACAAGGAAACUAUAAUCUCCUCCUUCACCUUAUCAGUCUCUUCCUUACAACAAUUCAGUCAUACCAAUAACUGCUAUUUCUAUCAAUAUAUUCACCCUCAUAAUCUCCAACUGUAAUACUACGCCCUUACAGCUUUCAACACACAAUUACCCUCAUUCCAAUCUCUGCAAUUCUUCAAACAUAAUUGCCAUUCACAUUACAGUGUUUCGCACAAAUACAGACUCAUUCUCUCUGUUGAACUACAAUCAGAUUUCAACAUUCAAUCUUUCUUCUUUUCAAAUAAUACCAAUCACAUUUCCAUUCCAUAAUUCACUUCACAAUAUUCAAAAACUUUCAAUCCUCUUAUUCAAAGAAAAUAACAAACAAAAGAAAAGAGGUAGCACCAAGCUUACCCCGGCUCA